This is a ribosomal RNA of 105 nucleotides. It matches the Rfam family "5.8S ribosomal RNA", at positions 54 to 154 of the family's 154-position model. Rfam says of the family: 5.8S ribosomal RNA (5.8S rRNA) is a component of the large subunit of the eukaryotic ribosome. It is transcribed by RNA polymerase I as part of the 45S precursor that also contains 18S and 28S rRNA. Functionally, it is thought that 5.8S rRNA may be involved in ribosome translocation.
UGCGAUACGUAAUGCGAAUUGCAGGAUUCAGUGAGUCAUCGAAAUUUUGAACGCAUAUUGCACUUCCGGGUUAGUCCUGGAAGUAUGCCUGUAUCAGUGUCCGUA